This is a long non-coding RNA of Felis catus (domestic cat), 625 nucleotides long. RefSeq lists it as uncharacterized. The transcript is spliced from 3 exons. NCBI's taxonomy places the organism in Eukaryota, Metazoa, Chordata, Mammalia, Carnivora, Felidae. The record is from RefSeq and is a predicted model, not a curated record.
ACCUUUUCUUUGUAUAAUUAUUUCACAUGAUACACGCACCCACACACAUUCAAAUUUUUUCAAUUAAAAAAAAAGCUUUUGGCAUUUGAAACUGAUUUACUAAAAUGAGUUGAUCUCUCUGACUUGAUUUUCCCCACUAAAUAACACAAAACAAUCACUUCUCCUAAAUUCCUGUAAGUUCCUUACAGCACUCAAUUUAUUUCGUUUCCCAGGUUGUCCUUGACUUCUAUACCACCCAGGUACUGCUGGGAGCAUUGCAGGUCAGGAUUACACCAGCUCUCUGGGCUUUGUGUGGAAGAGCUUUUGGGUGCGGGGAUGUGCUUUGUGAAUACUCCCAGCAGCUACAAGGGACGCCUUCCAGGGAACCUGAGCUGUACUCCCUGUCCCUCAGAACGCUGUACUCUGUACACAGCAGCUCUCAUAAUGUGCUUAUUGUAAUCCAGCUAAAGUGUCAGGCCAGAGUGUGAAGAAAUCUUGAAGUUCCUACCUGAGUGAGCCAGCGUGUAGCAGUCUGAGGACCCUCUGUAUUGGACCCCUCUCAUCCUGCUUUUCACCGAAGCAUUCCUGACAUUGUAAACGGAAGUCAAUACAGCCUUUUCUCAAUAAAGGAGUUCUAAAAAGUUAA